UCCUACGGGGGGCAGCAGUGGGGAAUAUUGGACAAUGGGGGGAACCCUGAUCCAGCGACGCCGCGUGAGUGAAGAAGUAUUUCGGUAUGUAAAGCUCUAUCAGCAGGGAAGAAAGAAAUGACGGUACCUGACUAAGAAGCCCCGGCUAACUACGUGCCAGCAGCCGCGGUAAUACGUAGGGGGCAAGCGUUAUCCGGAUUUACUGGGUGUAAAGGGUGCGUAGGUGGCAGGGCAAGUCAGAUGUGAAAGCCCGGGGCCCAACCCCGGUACUGCAUUUGAAACUAUCCGGCUGGAGUGCAGGAGAG
RNAcentral lists this ribosomal RNA (305 nucleotides) under uncultured bacterium. Its description in RNAcentral is "bacterial SSU rRNA". It matches the Rfam family "Bacterial small subunit ribosomal RNA", at positions 337 to 656 of the family's 1533-position model. The record is from RNAcentral.